UACGUAGGUCCCGAGCGUUGUCCGGAUUUAUUGGGCGUAAAGCGAGCGCAGGUGGUUUAUUAAGUCUGGUGUAAAAGGCAGUGGCUCAACCAUUGUAUGCAUUGGAAACUGGUAGACUUGAGUGCAGGAGAGGAGAGUGGAAUUCCAUGUGUAGCGGUGAAAUGCGUAGAUAUAUGGAGGAACACCGGUGGCGAAAGCGGCUCUCUGGACUGUAACUGACACUGAGGCUCGAAAGCCAGGGGAGCGAACCGG
Molecule: ribosomal RNA, 252 nt
Filed under: uncultured microorganism
Description: partial 16S ribosomal RNA
Rfam family: Bacterial small subunit ribosomal RNA
Source: RNAcentral